UAGAUUCUGAUGAACCAGCAAAAUCUACUAUUCCUGCUAAGAGGCCUCUGACAACAGAGAAAAAGAGUGAACAUUAUUUGCAGUCCAAGGAUGAUUCUGAUGAUAGUUCUGAUGAGAGUGAUGAAGAGCCUGCACUAAAGAAGCCUAAGGAUUCAUCUUCCAAGAAAGAAAGUUAUGGUGAUGAUGACAGUUCUGAAGAAGCUCCUGCCGUGAUGAUGAAAAUGAUCAAUCGGUGUCAAUGGCAAAGUCCAAGCAGAACGAAGAACGAAGAUCUGAAUCACCAUCACCCCUCUAGAGAAAUCAGUUUACUCAUUCAAGUUCUGGAAAUUCUUUAUACCUUUCUGAGUUUACUUUGUCUUGCAUGUGUUAGCUUUUUGUUUGUGCCCCUUUCUAUGUCUGUUUCUUGUGUGCAAGCACUCCAUUCUCUGUGUGUGACUGUGUGUCUUUUUUGCGUGUGUUGCUUGACUCUGUGUGUGUGUUGCUUGACUGUGUGUGACUUGAGGGCGAAUAUGUGUGUGGCUUGACUGUGUGUGUGUGCUUGACUCUCUGUGUGUGACUGUGUGUGUGUGUGUGACUGUGUGAAUAUUGCAUUUGCUUGAUGGUGUGGUUUGUAUGCUUUGUUGAAUGAUUGGUUGUGUAUAACUUGUGUUUUAUAUUGUUGUUAUCUUUCUGUUUGUGCCCCUUUCUAUGUCUGUUUCUUGUGUGCAAGCGCUCCAUUCUGUGUGUGUGACUGUCUGACUUUUUUGCGUGUGUUUCUUGACUCUGUGUGUGUGUGUGGCUUGACUGUGUGUGACUUGAGGGUGAAUAUGUGUGUGGCUUGACUGUGUGUGUGUGCUUGACUCUUUGUGUGUGACUCUGUGUGUGUGUGUGUGUUUGACUGUGUGAGUAUUGCAUUUGCUUGAUGGUGUGGUUUGUAUGCUUUCUUGAAUGAUUGGUUGUGUAUAACAUGUGUUUUAUAUUGUUGAGGCCUAACACUGCCUUUGCCGGUCCCAAGCUCGGGUGUGAAAAUGUGGAGGGAGCUGCAGUUACCUUCUUUGUAUUGUUUGCAUUACGAGUGUCGAUAGAAAUUACACAGUUUAGGUUACUGUCCUAAUCGAAUAGUGAAUCUUCACAUAAUUUGGUAGCAAGUGACUCAAGCUUUAAAAUGCAUCCUUCCUUGCUAGUUGUACGAGGUCAGUGUUUUUCUUAUACGAUACCAAAGGAAAGCGAGUAGCUAAGAAUUUAGGCCUAUAAGGGUUUGAUAUAUUUUUUUUACUUCUGUGCAUGAUUUUUUAGGUGGAAAGGUCUGCACGUACAAGACGUUUUGGAUGUUUUGGAGUCCACCGCUUUGACUGUCUCCUGAUGCUCUGGCUGUUUCCAUCUUAGGUGACAUGUGCUUUUUGUUUUUGAUUGUGUCUCCUUGUUUGCCGCAUAUCAGUUUUGUAUGUCGGAUUGUUUGGGCUGAUUUUUCUGGGCUCUUCUCAUGGUAUGAGUGGUCCUUUCUUUUUUCUUCUGCUGCCUAUAAAUAAGCUAUUCUGGAGGCCUUAUUUCUCGAUUUCUAGAUUCUUUGCUUUGGGUUCGUGAUAAGGGUUCUUGCAGUUUGGUGUGCUGAUCGGCUGCCUUCUUCGGUUCGUGCUUCUGGUCGAUCUGUUCCAAGUCGCUCCGAAUAUAUUCCUGGUGCUACUUCUGGCGGUGGAUCUUCUAGUCGAUCUGUUCUAAGUGCCGCUCAAUAUCCUGUUUUGGAUCCUAAUGAAGCGCACCGGUGUCGGCAUGAGAUUCGAUGUGGGAAGCAUCCUAUUUAUUUAUACAACCACGGUCCAUUGGCUGGAGUCGAGGAAAUUCUCAAGCAUAAAACGACAUCUUCUUACUCAACAUAAUUUUAAAGAAACAGGAUGAAGUCGAAGCGGCACGGAUGGCAGCAAUCAACAAGGAAAUUAAACGUGUGUUGACAGAAGUUCUUCUGAAGGUUUCUGAUGAUCUUUUUAAUGAGAUCACGGCCAAAGUUAUGAAUGAAGAUGAUUCAUCAGCUGGACCAAAUGAGAUCACUGGUGUCUCUAGCUCAAAGGAGCUUGGUCUGGGAGAAUCAGAAGUCAAGACCACAACUGUAUUGGUCGUUUUGAUGAUACUGGGCUAAGUUCUCCUAAAGGUGCUUUCUUGGUCAUGCUAAUUAUGAUUCAGAUGAUGAUGAUGGUAAGGGUUUAAUUCCAAAUUUAUCAUCUGAAAUUAAAGUUGGUGCAGCUCAUCCUAAAGAAAGUAAGUUCUUGAAAAACACAAAGUGGACAUGGUUUCCCAAAAUUUAUUUUCUAAAGAAGGAAGAGCUAAUUAUUAACUUUCUGAGUUUACUUCGGUCUUGCAUGUACUAGCUUUCUGUUUUUGCCCCUAUCUAUGUCUGUUUCUUUCCAUUUCUUGUGUGCAUGUGCUCCAUUGUGUUUGUGUGUGUCUGACUGUGUGUGAUGUGCCCCUAACUCUGUUUCUGUCUGUUUCUUGUGUUCAAGUGCUACAUUGUGUGUGUGAUGUGCCCCUAUCUAUGCAUGUUUCUUGUGUGCAAGCGCUUGAUUGAGUGUGUGCUUGUGUGACUGUGUGUAUUGCAUUUGCUUGAUGGUGUGGCUUGUAUGCUUUGCUGAGUGAUUGGUGUGUUUUGUGUUGUUGUGGUUUAACACUGCCUUUGCCGGUCCCAAGCCCGGAUGCGAAAAUGUGGACGGAGCUGCAGUAUUGUUUGCCUUAGAACUGUUGAUUGAAAUUACUCUCCUAAUCGAAUAGUGAAUCUUCACAUAAUGUCGUAGUAUGUGGUUCAAGCUCUGGAAUGCAUCCUUCCUUGCUAUGAAAAAUCUAGCAAGUGUACUUGUCUAGAAUUUGUCCCGUCUCCUAAAUUAAUCUUGCUGGGUUCUUAAAUCUUGUCAGCACCAAUGUUCUUUUCUGCUAAUAUAUAUACUUUUUUUUAAAAUCAGUCAUCUGUUUUUAAUUUGGCUUUGAUUUGUGGUUGUCUGAUCAUGCACGAAUCUCAGCGUCGCAGGUGUCCCUCAUUUGUCUGUAACUCACAAGUGCAUGUCUUGUUUAUUUGUUGUUGGGCUUUUUGUUCGGGUUGUGGGUUGCCCUCUCUGUUGUUGGCCUUUUUAUUCGGGUUGUGGGUCCUUUUCGGGGGGUGACCUGCUGAGAGUGUGUGUGUGUGAGGGGGGGAGGGGACGGCGGCAGUGUUGGUGGCCGGAGCGUUUCAGCCGGGAAGGAGUUGACUUCGGCACACGGACAGGCACUGUGUAGGCUCGUGAGUCCCCUUUCCCCUCUUUGAUUCAAUUCAUUUUAUCGAAAAAGGCUUUUGUCCCGCUUUAUAUAUAAGGCAAUGAUCGACAUAGCAGAUGCAAACCACCUGACAUCACACAGACCAGAGGCAGAUACAAGGGAGCUGAUGAACAUCAACACUACUCCAAACACCCAAAAGCAAACAACAAGUAGGCGGAAGAGCAUAGCUAAGGAUCUAAAGAGCACUCCACCGUGAACAGUAACCGCGAGGAGAUGAAGCCGCAACUCGACGGAACCAAGGACUCCAAAGUGGUUCUUCCAACAAAGAAACGACACUGAAGAGCCACCACCACCCGAUCCAGAGAAUCGAGGUUUUCGCCCGAAGUAACACGAAGAACGUAGAGCCACCACGAUGGAGCCUUCAAAGAAGGGAACGAUGCAUGGACGCCGCCGCCAUCGGUCUGGCCCGAGCCAAACGAGGUUUUCACCCCGGCCACCACCUCCACCUCCGCCCAGGGUACUACCCUACAUGAGAGCGUCGGCUGCAUGACCAUCAAGAACAUCGAAGGCCCGCCCCAUGCCGCCCAUGCGGCCACGACAAUAAGCCCGUCAGUGCCCGAGCCACGAGCUCUGCCCACGAGCUCGCAGCUCCCGCCACCAAGGCCGUCGCCCUGCAACCAGACACUCCAGAGACCAUCAAAGGCACGAGCUUUGAGCCGACCGGCAGAUCCCUAGCACCGUCGGAGCCGCCGGUGACCUACUCGCCCCGAGUAAUGAUCAGCGGCCUACAGGCACUAGGCCAGGAAAAGGGAGGGAGUGGAGCUUGUCCGGACCGACGCACCCCUGUGUCGGUGAGACGGUGAUAGGUAGUCGGUCUACCCAUCCCUCUAGCAGCCACCCCUGUGUCACCCCUGACGCCCUACCACGGCGUCCGGUAAGUACCACGUGAGGAAGAGGCGUCACCCAUCCGCCGGCGAGGGCCGACCGCACCCUGCCGCCGAAGAAGGCCUCGAGAGGAGCGCCAACCACCACCACACAACAUGCGCCUCCACGCUCCCCACCGGAGUAGAGCAAACACCUACUGCAGCACCACCACCUUAGAAGGGCCGCCAGCCACCCUUGCCGCCACCAACCGCCACUACCAGCCGAAUCUGGGCAGGUAUCUUGGAGUAGCACAACUUGUGUUUCCUUUAGGUCAAAUGAUAUAGCUACUUCGAUUCUAGGAUAGAGAUAACUUUGGCACUCGGAUUUGUGAUGUUUUUAUCUAAGCUUAGUAGCCUGCAUGUGCCCCAUAUGGAUAUAAUCAUGAAUACGAUACAUGUGGUCAGAGUUGUUAGACAUAGGUGAUUUUCGUGUCCCUCCCCAAGAAUGUUAUGAGUACAAAAUCAUCAUGGGAGGAUGGUUUGGAUUAAUUCGAAGAGAUGGCAAUUUUGAUGGUAUAUGAUAACCUUGUGGGAGUUGGUCUAUGUGAGCCUUAUAACAAUUGGUAUCAGAGAAAGUUUAUGUGUUUUAUGGCAACCUUAAGUCUCACCAAGUCAUGACUUGGUCAAGCCGUGAUAACAGAGCUGGAUAUGUAGUAAGGAUAUGGCCCUUGGACUAACCCUUAUACUCCACCUACUUGAUGAACAUCAUGACCAUGUUUAUGAGUUCUUGGACUAGUUUGUGGUUAUCAUCAUUGAUGACCUCUUGGUCUAUUCUCCCUCUGAGGAAGAUCAUAAGAAACACUUGAGAAUGAUUUUGGAUAACUUAAAGAGCCCCAGUUAUAUGCCAAGUUUAAGAAUUAUGAAAUUUGGCUAAAAGAAGUAGGGUUCCAAGGACUUGUUUUUUCCAUGGAAGGUUUGUCAAUAGACCCAUCAAGGAUAGAAUCUGUAACCAACUUUUAGGCAAAACAAAUGUGAAGUCGGAAGUUCCAUCGAACUUAAUAGUUAUUAUCGCAAAUUUGUGAAGACUUUCAAGCAUCGCCGAUGACUUAACUCUUGAAGAAAGAUAAGAAGUUUGAAUGAAGGCCCAAGUGUGAAGUGAGCUUUCAAGAGUUUAAGAAGAGGUUAACCACUGAUCCGUCCUUAGCCACCCUAGAUAUUUAUACAAGUUUUGAAGUUAUUGUGAUGCAUCUAAGCAUGGACUCCAUUCCGUCUUGAUGCAAGAAGGAAUCUUCGUAGCCUAUCUAUCAAGGCAACUACGGCCUCAUGAAGAGAACUGCCCUACCAUGAUUUGGAAAUAGCAGCAGUAGUGCAUGCUAUACGUAUGUCUUCUAGAUGAUCAACCACUAUGACGUUGAUAUCCAUUACCAUCCUAAUGAGGCCAAUUGGCAGUGGAUACCCUCAGCAGGAAGUCAUGUCCCUGUUCUGCCUUGACCAAGCAGAGCAACUAGUGCUACAUGACGGCUUCGAGAAGUUUGGUGUAAACUUGAUCAACCACUAUGACGUUGAUAUCCAUUACCACCCUGAUAAGGCCAAUGUCGCAGUGGAUACCCUUAGCAGGAAGUCGUGUCCCUAUUCUGCCUUGACCAAGUGGAGCAAUUAGUGCUACAUGAAGGCUUUGAGAAGUUUGGUGUAGAGCUAGUCAAUAGUGUCUAUCUUGCUAACUUCAAGAUUAGACCCACUCUUAGGAUGAAUCAAGAAGUAUAGAAGAAAUCAAUGAAAUGAUCAAGCAUGGGAAAGCCAUGCAUUAUCAGAAGACAAGCAAUGUGUUAUUUGGUUUGGAGGUCGCAUCUGCAUACCUAACCAAGAAGGUUUGUAGAAGUGGAGUCUACAAGCAGCACGCCUUCAUCGAUGAACCAGAGACCCUGGCGCAUGGCAGAGCCGUAUCGUGUGGCGCUCUUGCUGUCUCGAAAGAUGUCUGAAGCUAAGUGUGAAGCAUGUCUGCAUGAGUUUUUUCUAGAAUAAGAAGGAAGGAGUAGGUUUCACAUAUUUGCGGGAUAUGCGACAGCCCGUCGGGCAACGCGGUCACACUCGCGUGAACCCGCAUGCACAAAGUUGUUGGCUGUGGGAGAAUUAGCGAGUUUUUUGCAGGGUGGACUAGCGACUUAGCUGGUAUUCCUGUCCCACUUGCGCCCUUACCAAUGUCAAAUUAAGGCCAUGACUCUAUCAGGGUCAUAAUUGACCAUUGCCUAAGCUUGCCAUCCUCAACCCAUUACUUAACACCAAAGACAUUUGCAAGCAAACUAGCAAAUAACUACCUCUUCCAAAUUUUAAGUCCCCACAAAGUUCCCAAGAAGGUUGUUGCAUAUAAAGGUACAAAGUUGACCUCCAAACCUGGAAGAGAUUCCAAGAAGCUUUCAAAAUCAAGUCAUCCAUCAAACGGGGCCUCUGCAAAGAAAACCACACAUCGACCCCCACCCCUAACCAACUUACUACGAGAUCUCAAUUGUUGCCCUUGCUAAAGCUAUAUGUCAGAAGUUAUGCCAUCGAGUGCCUCGGUUGAGUGAAGCAAUCUCAUUGAAGAGCAAGCAACUUGGAGUGAAGACUAUCGUUGAGCGAUCUUUCUAAGAAACCUCACCCUAUGUUUUGUAUCACAUCACUUACGAUAAUGUAGAUCAAAAUUUUGGACCCAACUUCUAAAAUAUCGAUCACGGGGGAGUAUAUACUAUCCGGUGGACUCUAUACUAGCAUCAUUCUUAAGGAAAGUUCUGUCCAAUUGUUCAAAGUGUAUACGCCUAACACCAAAAUACAUUCAAGAUGCAAAGGCCGACAUAUUUAACUUUACCAGGUGAAACUUAGUUAGAGUUUCUCCUCACUCAAGCUUAAGCCUUUCUCUAAACCAAACCUAACCCAAGAAAACCCAGCCUAGCUAUCAAGGUUGUGAUAUGACAGACUUAUAUCAAUGUGCUUAACUUACGAAAUUGCAAGAGCGCCGCUUAAGCACCAACAACUAUUGCUUGAGAUAAAUCCCAACAUGAGAUAGUGAUUGUAUGAGUCAAUCAUGUUGCAUCCUUAAGCCCUCAACACACACCUAGUUGGGUGGUGUCAUACUUAAGUUAUUUUGAGGAGUUAUGAUUGGAAAAUGAGAUAGUUUGUUGGUAAUGUAGAUGUGAUCUUGAGAAGAUAGUCAAAGAUGAUCGGUGGAUUAUGAGAUUUUAGGUAUAGUAGGAGAGCAUGAUGAUUAUUAUAUUUGUGAAUAACAAUAUCUUUAAUUAAUCUUGAAACAAGUUGGAUUUAGUUACGUGAUUGUGAAUUUGUGAUUUUGAACCAAAUUUCAAGGUGGAUUUCGACAUUUUAGUUGGAUUUAGUUAGGUGAUUGUGAUCUCGAGAAGAUAGUCAAACUUGUCCGGUGGAUUAUGAGAUAUUAUGUCUAAUAGGUGAGCAUGAUGAUUAUUACAUCGAUGGAUAAAAAGAUCUUGAAUUAAUCUUUGAACAAUUUGGAUUUAGUUUGUGUGAUUGACCUUGGACCAAAUUUCAUGGAGAAUUAUGAGAUUUUAGGUGGAUUUAAUUUGGUGAUUGUGAUCUUCAGAAGAUAGUCAAAGAUAUUUAGUGGAUUAUAAGAUUUUAGGUCUAGUAGGCGAGGAUGAUGAUUAUUAUAUUAGUGGAUAAAUAGAUCUUCAAUUAAUCUUGGACAAUUUGGAUUUAGUUAGGUGAUUGUAAUUUUGACCCAAAUUUCAUGGUAGAUUAUGAGAUUUCAAGUAGAUUUUAGUUCAUAUGACUUUUGAGGAGGUAGUCAAUGAUGUUCGGUGGAUUAUGAGAUUUUAAGUUUAGUAGGUGAGCAUGAUGAUUAUUGCACUGGUGCAUAAAUAGAUCCUUAAUUAAUCUUCGAACAAUUUGGGCUAAGCUUUGAAGCGGCAGGAAGCACAAUCGCACAAUAGGCGCUUAACACUUGAGGAUCUCGAAGAUUCAUGGGAUAGAGACAUAACACUAUUCCAAAAAGACCGCCACGCUUUGGCCUAUGACUUUAAGUAGUAUGAAAUGCUGAAACAGAACCCAUUUUGGUGUGACAUGAUGGAAAGCUAUGGAGUCUGAACAACUACAGAACUGACGUCUGGUUUACAUAAGGAGGGAGAAUGCCGGCAGCUGGAAUUCUGGGCUGGAAAAGGAGCAAAUAUUAGAGACCUAUUCUGCGCAACUCCAAAAGUC
Non-coding RNA from Triticum urartu, 8282 nucleotides. Lineage: Eukaryota; Viridiplantae; Streptophyta; Magnoliopsida; Poales; Poaceae. The record is from RefSeq and is a predicted model, not a curated record.